AAAAACCUUUAAAAAAAAUAAAAAGUAAAAAAUAAACCCCUUCCUCAUCACACAAAACGGAGGGAGUACAAAAAUUUCUCUUCCCAUUUUACCACAGCGCCGCCGGCCAGCCACGGACCCACCACCGCCGGUCGCCUGACUCGCCUAGCCGCUUACCCGCUUUCACAGUUUCACCCACUUCUGAAUUUUGUAAGCAUCACCACAAACUCCACGGCGUUUCCGGCUCACCGCCAACUACGAGGAGAAGUUUAUGGCACUCUCCGCUCCGCUCCGCACUCGCCACCCCGCACCCACUCCGUCGCCGCCUACAAGGAGAAAUUCAGAGUAACAGAAUAACCUGCUGCUUGGCAAUGAACCUGGUUGCAUGGGCAAGCUCAAUCUCAGAUCGCUUGGCUCAAUUGGUUGUUGUUCUUAUUCUACUCAACCGUUGGACGUUUCCUCAAUCAACGUGCUAACCAACCUUUGCUCCAGGGGACGCCUAAAAGAAGCAUUUCAGAGCUUCAAAUCUGAAAUAUGGUCAGACCCAAAUCUUUUCUCUCACCUAAUUCAUGGUUGUAUUUCUGCAAAAUCAAUUUCAUGGGGAAAACAGCUUCAUGCUUUGACAAUUACUUCUGGUUGUUAUUUAGACAAGUUUGUGAACAAUCAUUUGUUGAACAUGUAUGGAAAACUUGGCGAAUUGGACACUGUUUUAGUGUUAUAUAAUGUGAUGCCGUGGAAAAAUGUGAUGUCUAGGAACAUUUUGAUUAAUGGCUAUGUGCAAUGUGGUGAUUUUGGGAGUGCUUGGAAGGUGUUCGAUGAAAUGCCUGAACGAAAUGUUGCAACUUGGAAUGCGAUGGUCACGGGGAUGGUACAGUAUGAGAAAAAUGAGGAAGGGUUGGGGUUGUUUUCGAGGAUGCAUUUACUGGGGUUUCGGCCGGAUGAGUUUACGUUGGGUAGUGUGCUUCGAGGGUGUGCUGGUUUGAGAGCUUUGUUUUGUGGGAGGGAGGUUCAUGGUUAUGCCAUCAAAAGUGGUCAUGAUUUGAGUUUGGUUCUUGGCAGUGCAUUGGCUAAUAUGUAUAUGAGGUGCAGAUGUUUGGAGGAUGGAGAGAAAAUCAUUCAAGGGAUGCCCAUCCAUAACGUGAUUGCAUGCAAUACGCUUAUUGCUGGAAGAGCUCAAAACGGGUAUCCUGAGGGUGCUUUAGAGCAGUAUAAUUUGAUGAAGAAGGCGGGAUUUCAACCUGAUAAAAUUACAUUUAUUAGUGUCGUUAGCUCGUGUUCUGAACUAGGGACCCUGGGACAAGGACAGCAAAUACAUGCUGAAGUGAUAAAGCGGGGUGUUACUUCUGUAGUUCCUCUAGUUAGUUCACUGAUAAGCAUGUAUUCUAGAUGCGGAUGCUUGGAAGAAUCUAACAAAGCUUUCAAGAACUGUAAAGAUGCAGAUGUUGUCCUGUGGAGCUCAAUGAUUUCUGCUUAUGGUUUCCAUGGCAAAGGAAGGGAAGCCAUUGAACUCUUCAAUCAAAUGGACCAAGAAGGACUGGAGGCAAACGAGGUUACUUUCUUGAGCUUGCUAUAUGCUUGUAGCCAUUGUGGACUGAAGGAUGAAGGGCUUGAAUAUUUUGACCUAAUGGUUAAAAAAUAUGGAUUGAAGCCCAGGUUAGAGCACUACACGUGUGUUGUUGAUCUACUUGGUCGUUCUGGUUGUCUCGUGCAAGCAGAAGAUAUGAUUAGAUCAAUGCCCACAAAAGCAGAUGCUGUUAUAUGGAAAGCUUUGUUAUCUGCUUGUAAAACCCAUAAAAAUGUAGAUAUGGCUAAGAGGAUUGCUGAAGAGGUCCUCAAGCUUGAUCCUCUGGAUUCCGGUUCCUAUGUUCUGCUUGCAAAUAUCCAAGCCUUUGCAAAGAGGUGGGACGAAGUUUCUACUGUGAGAAAAGCCAUGAGGGAUAGACGAGUAAAGAAAGAGCCAGGUGUUAGUUGGUUUGAGUUCAAGAAUGAGGUUCACCAAUUCACCAUGGGAGCUAAGUACCAUCCUAGGUCCUUGGAGAUUUAUUCAUAUCUGAAAGAACUAAUGUCAGACAUAAAAAAAUGCGGGUAUAUUCCAGAUACUGGAUUUGUUUUGCAAGACAUGGACACACAAGCAAAAGAGCAAAAUUUGGCUCAGCAUAGUGAAAAGCUGGCCAUCGCAUUUGCUCUAAUGAUCACUCCUCCCGCUUUUCCUAUUAGGGUAAUGAAGAAUUUGCGUAUUUGUGAUGAUUGUCAUGUGGCUAUCAAGUACAUAUCUACGGUUAAGGACAGAGAGAUUAUAGUGCGCGAUACAAGUAGAUUUCAUCACUUCAAGAAUGGUGAAUGUUCGUGCAGUGAUUACUGGUAGGAACGUAGGAUAAUUGACAGCAAGAAAUUUUGACUGUCCAUGACAAUUUGUUCAGGCUCUUGUGUGCAGCACCCGUAGACAUUUAGAAAAUCCUAUUUGUUCGAUCGGGGAGACUAUAGAUUGCUGGAAACAGUUGUUUGAAUCAAAAGAAUGGAUGCUUUAGGAGGUUCUUCGUGGUGGAGCACCCACCCUUUCAAUCAAUUUCGGCAACGAGGAACAAAACAUAGAGGAGAGAGAAACAACAAAUGCAACGACUCUUCGUCGGAUUCUGCCGCACAAUCCACCGCCAGCCACCGUUUCCCACUUAAGCAAGCGGUCAUUGCCGAAUCUCUUGCCUUGGCCGGUGACACCAUUGCUCGUCUUCGACACCGUUGGACUUCUAAACCUGACUCCCAACUCUGCCUCUUCUACUUCCGAUGACCAUGAUAAGGGUUGUUCCUCUUGGCUCUUCAGACACAGGUGGCUUUAUCCUCUCUUCAACAAAUGAGCAAAUAAAUCCAACUUAACUGCUGUCAGCUGCGCAUAUCCUGAUUAGCUUUCUUUCUAGCCCGCUGAUCAUGCAAAAACUGUUCUAAACUUAAAUCAUUUUCCUUAAAUAAGAUACUUGAAUGCUUCAGAUUAGACAGACCAAGAACAAUUGAUCUGCUUUUCUUUUGGCUGGAUUAUUUAACUCACCAAAUUGUAAAACUUUACUGUUAUUUUAUUUUCUUCAGACUUCUGGUUUUUAGCAGGUCUGAUUUUUGUCAACUAAAAAUUUGAUUGCGAUUGACAUUUAAUGUAUGUAACAUUUGGGAUGGUAUUGAACACA
RNA transcript from Spinacia oleracea (spinach), 3152 nucleotides. It is a transcript of the gene named pentatricopeptide repeat-containing protein At2g41080, with no coding region annotated. The record is from RefSeq and is a predicted model, not a curated record. Lineage: Eukaryota; Viridiplantae; Streptophyta; Magnoliopsida; Caryophyllales; Amaranthaceae. The transcript is spliced from 4 exons.